AACAUCUCCUUUUGAUUUUAAUUAAAGGUAAGGCCUGCUCAAUGAUUAAUUAAAUAGCCGCGAUAUUUUAUCGUGCAAAGGUAGCAUAAUAAUUUGUCCCUUAAUUAGGGGUCUAGAAAUGAAAGGGGUUUAACGAAGAAAAUAAAACUUUUUUUUAGUUCAAAAUUUUUUUUAAUUUAAUUUUUUAGUUAAAAAGCUAAAAUGGUAUUAUGGGACGAUAAGACCCUAUAAAAUUUUAUUUUAGUAUUUUCUAUUUUAAUAGUUUAGAAUUUUUAUAUUUUAAUUUUA
Molecule: ribosomal RNA, 288 nt
Filed under: Lasiacantha sp. 16 STC-2019
Lineage: Eukaryota; Metazoa; Arthropoda; Insecta; Hemiptera; Tingidae
Description: partial large subunit ribosomal RNA
Source: RNAcentral